GCUUGCUUAGUUCAGAUGGUAGAACGGCGGACUGUUAAUCCGUAUGUCACUGGUUCGAGCCCAGUAGCGAGCGCCA
RNAcentral lists this transfer RNA (76 nucleotides) under Photobacterium kishitanii. RNAcentral describes it as "tRNA-Asn". It matches the Rfam family "tRNA". Rfam says of the family: Transfer RNA (tRNA) molecules are approximately 80 nucleotides in length. Their secondary structure includes four short double-helical elements and three loops (D, anti-codon, and T loops). Further hydrogen bonds mediate the characteristic L-shaped molecular structure. tRNAs have two regions of fundamental functional importance: the anti-codon, which is responsible for specific mRNA codon recognition, and the 3' end, to which the tRNAs corresponding amino acid is attached (by aminoacyl-tRNA synthetases). tRNAs cope with the degeneracy of the genetic code in two manners: having more than one tRNA (with a specific anti-codon) for a particular amino acid; and 'wobble' base-pairing, i.e. permitting non-standard base-pairing at the 3rd anti-codon position. Lineage: Bacteria; Pseudomonadati; Pseudomonadota; Gammaproteobacteria; Vibrionales; Vibrionaceae. The record is from RNAcentral.